CGCUCUGCCCGUCAGCACUCAGCUGUUGCUGCUGCUGCCUGGGCUUUUCCUGCUGCCUGCUCUGGAGCACCAACCCCAGCAGGAUGAGCACUGCUGCGCCAGUGGAGACUAACAGAGACACUGUGGUGGCGAUGGAAGUGGACAUGGUGCUGAAUGAGGAAGAGAUGAUGGAGGUGGACGUGGAAGACCAGGUUGAGGAGAUGGAAGUUGAUGAGGAGGAUGACAUCGAGGCGAUGGAAGUGGAUGAGAAGGAUGAGGAGGAGCCCAUGGUCCUUGGAUGAAGAUGGAGCCCCACAAGACUGAUGCAGAUGAUGGCUGUAGAUAUUACGGCGGUGUAUAUAUGUUUGAAAAGUUAGGAUAUUUUUGUAAAUAUGUUCUUAGGUUAGUAGUUCUUUGUAAAUAUGUUUUGAAGAUUGUUACUCCAUAGGAUCCCAUGGAAAUAUGUGCAGUAGAUUG
Passer domesticus (house sparrow) is the source of this 456-nucleotide long non-coding RNA. RefSeq lists it as uncharacterized. The record is from RefSeq and is a predicted model, not a curated record. The transcript is spliced from 3 exons. NCBI's taxonomy places the organism in Eukaryota, Metazoa, Chordata, Aves, Passeriformes, Passeridae.